This 434-nucleotide ribosomal RNA is filed under the name uncultured bacterium. Its description in RNAcentral is "partial 16S ribosomal RNA". It matches the Rfam family "Bacterial small subunit ribosomal RNA", at positions 29 to 507 of the family's 1533-position model. The record is from RNAcentral.
AGCGAACGCUGGCGGCAGGCCUAACACAUGCAAGUCGAACGAACCUUUCGGGGUUAGUGGCGGACGGGUGUGUAACACGUCGGAACGUGCCUUUAGGUUCGGAAUAACUCAGGGACACUUGUGCUAAUACCGAAUGUGCCCUUCGGGGGAAAGAUUAAUCGCCUUUAGAGCGGCCCGCGUCUGCUUAGCUAGUUGUUUGAGGUAAUGGCUCACCAAGGCGACGAUCAGUAGCUGGUCUGAGAGGAUGAUCCGCGACAUUGGGACGGAGACACGGCCCAAACUCCUACGGGAGGCAGCAGUGGGGGAUGUUGUGCAAUGGGCGAAAGCCUGACGGAGCCAUGACGCGUGAAUGAUGAAGGUAUGAGGAUAGAAAAAUUCUUGCACCGGGGAAGAUAAUGACGGUACCCGGAGAAAAAGCCCCGGCUAACUACGUG